Molecule: long non-coding RNA, 725 nt
Organism: Drosophila ananassae
Lineage: Eukaryota; Metazoa; Arthropoda; Insecta; Diptera; Drosophilidae
Exons: 2
Source: RefSeq, a predicted model, not a curated record
CGCAUCUUUGAGAUCGUUCUCUAGCAUCUUAGCGAUUGCAGUCCCCAACAGAAAGAGAAACUGCUCGAACUGAAAUAGAAAUAAAUACAACAAUUAACAAAGUGCGCCGUUUGUUUACUUUGAUUUACUUAACGUUUUUGAGCUUUCCGUUUAUUUUUGUUUUUUUUGUUUUUAGUUUCAUUUUUGUAUUGCCGCCUUGGUGGAGCUUGACCUUUAAUAGUCGUGUUGUACAUUGUGCCACGGGCAUCUUGGUAGGUCCACGGAUGAAGAUCGAGAUGGAGAUGAAGAUGGUGGAUGGGGAGCCGACGUGGAGCUGGAGCAUACCAAAUGGCUGCAAUUGAACUUCAAAUCCGUUUUUGGCGGCUGCCUGUGUCAAUGAUAUGGCAGAGCUGACCGCAUGCCGGACGCGAACGUGAUCACCGCUCGGCGGCGACCUUGCAGCAUUGUUGCUUUGACAAAUUUGUAGCAACUAGCGCCAGGCCACUUUGCUUGCGACCGGAUGCGGCUUGAGCUCGACGAGAUUUGGCGGUGGAUGAGGUGUUUGGUUUUCCUCUUAGCACUCUUAGCACUUUUGUGGAGUCUUUGGUGUCGUUGACGGAGGCGUAUGCGCAAUAAUCUCCAUACUGCUCGCCGUUAUCAAUUAUGUGUGCUUAGCGCUCCACUUUCGAUUUUAAUUCGCAGCACGACUCUGCCCCCUAAUAAACGUGUGAAUCUUCUCCGCCUGA